RNAcentral lists this ribosomal RNA (471 nucleotides) under uncultured Alphaproteobacteria bacterium. Its description in RNAcentral is "bacterial SSU rRNA". It matches the Rfam family "Bacterial small subunit ribosomal RNA", at positions 1 to 524 of the family's 1533-position model. The record is from RNAcentral. Lineage: Bacteria; Pseudomonadati; Pseudomonadota; Alphaproteobacteria.
UAGAGUUUGAUUAUGGCUCAGAACGAACGCUGGCGGCAUGCCUAACACAUGCAAGUCGAACGAAGGCUUCGGCCUUAGUGGCGCACGGGUGCGUAACGCGUGGGAAUCUGCCCUUAGGUUCGGAAUAACAGCUGGAAACGGCUGCUAAUACCGGAUGAUAUCGCGAGAUCAAAGAUUUAUCGCCCAGGGAUGAGCCCGCGUAAGAUUAGGUAGUUGGUGAGGUAAAGGCUCACCAAGCCGACGAUCUUUAGCUGGUCUGAGAGGAUGAUCAGCCACACUGGGACUGAGACACGGCCCAGACUCCUACGGGAGGCAGCAGUGGGGAAUAUUGGACAAUGGGCGCAAGCCUGAUCCAGCCAUGCCGCGUGAGUGACGAAGGUCUUCGGAUUGUAAAGCUCUUUUGGCGGGGACGAUAAUGACGGUACCCGCAGAAUAAGCCCCGGCUAACUUCGUGCCAGCAGCCGCGGUAAU